Molecule: long non-coding RNA, 2083 nt
Filed under: Setaria viridis
Lineage: Eukaryota; Viridiplantae; Streptophyta; Magnoliopsida; Poales; Poaceae
Description: long non-coding RNA (SVIR_LNC008441)
Source: RNAcentral
CAUGGAUCCCUCGAGUUCAUGCCGGGCAAACAGGUUGGGAUGAGUGAUACCUGCUACCCUGACAGUCUCAUUGGCAACAUCCCCAACAUCUACUACUAUGCAGCAAACAACCCAUCAGAGGCAACCGUCGCCAAGCGCCGGAGCUAUGCAAACACCAUCAGCUACCUGACACCACCAGCUGAGAAUGCCGGUCUCUACAAGGGGCUCAAGCAGCUGUCAGAGCUCAUCUCUUCUUACCAGUCUCUCAAGGACACAGGGCGUGGUCCUCAGAUUGUGAGCUCAAUCAUCAGCACUGCUAAACAGUGUAACCUUGACAAGGAUGUCCCGUUGCCUGAGGAAGGCGAGGAGCUCCCACCGAAGGAGCGGGACCUUAUUGUUGGGAAGGUGUAUGCGAAGAUCAUGGAGAUAGAAUCACGGCUCCUGCCGUGUGGUCUGCAUGUGAUCGGUGAGCCACCAAGUGCUAUUGAGGCUGUGGCCACAUUGGUGAACAUUGCCGCCCUUGACCGCCCAGAAGAGGGCAUAAGCUCACUGCCCAGCAUACUUGCUGCAACAGUGGGCAGGGACAUUGAAGAUGUGUACAGGGGAAGUGACAAGGGCAUACUGGCUGAUGUUGAGCUUCUGAGGCAGAUAACUGAAGCUUCUCGUGGUGCCAUCACUAGCUUUGUUGAGAAGACCACAAACAGCAAAGGGCAAGUCGUAAAUGUCACUAACAAUCUCAGUAACAUUCUUGGCUUUGGUCUCUCAGAACCAUGGGUGCAGUACUUGUCCACGACCAAGUUCAUCAGGGCAGACAGAGAGAAGCUGAGGGUCUUAUUUGGAUUCUUGGGGGAGUGCUUAAAACUCAUUGUGCAAGACAAUGAGCUGGGCAGCUUGAAGCUUGCCCUUGAGGGAAGCUAUGUUGAGCCUGGCCCUGGCGGUGAUCCGAUCCGUAACCCGAAGGUUCUCCCAACAGGGAAGAACAUCCAUGCCCUUGACCCACAGUCCAUCCCAACUGCAGCUGCCCUGAAGAGUGCCAAGAUCGUUGUUGACCGUCUGCUGGAGAGGCAAAAGGCUGACAAUGGUGGCAAGUAUCCUGAGACAGUUGCACUUGUCUUGUGGGGCACCGAUAACAUCAAGACCUAUGGUGAGUCAUUGGCCCAGGUGCUGUGGAUGAUUGGUGUCCGGCCAGUGGCUGACACCUUCGGCCGUGUCAACCGUGUGGAGCCUGUCAGCCUUGAGGAGCUUGGACGUCCAAGGAUUGACGUCGUCGUCAAUUGCUCGGGUGUCUUCAGGGAUCUCUUCAUCAACCAGGUAUGAAUUGAAUACCUCACCACAUUUAAAUUUUGGCUUGUGUGUACUGAAUUUGCAUACACAUCGAGAAUAGAUGCAUUGCUGCACUGGUCUGAACGAUUUAGUUAUGGAACAACGUAUUUUGAUGCGUGCAGAUGAACCUGUUGGACCGCGCAGUGAAGAUGGUCGCUGAACUAGAUGAGCCAGUAGAGAUGAACUAUGUGCGCAAGCAUGCCCAGGAGCAGGCAGAGGAGCUGGGUGUCCCACUAAGAGAGGCAGCAACAAGGGUGUUCUCAAAUGCAUCAGGGUCCUACUCGUCAAAUGUGAAUUUGGCAGUGGAGAAUGCAUCAUGGACCGAUGAGAAGCAGCUCCAGGACAUGUACCUGAGCCGCAAGUCCUUUGCAUUCGACAGUGACGCUCCAGGGGCAGGCAUGAAGGAGAAGCGCAAGGCAUUUGAGCUUGCUCUGGCAACUGCAGAUGCCACAUUCCAGAACCUCGACUCGUCGGAGAUCUCACUGACAGAUGUGAGCCACUACUUCGACUCGGACCCAACAAAGCUGGUGCAAGGGCUGCGGAAGGAUGGACGGGCACCUGCCUCUUACAUAGCAGAUACAACCACAGCAAAUGCACAGGUGAGAACACUGUCGGAGACGGUGCGUCUUGAUGCAAGGACAAAGCUACUGAACCCAAAGUGGUAUGAGGGGAUGAUGAAGAGCGGCUAUGAGGGAGUUAGAGAGAUCGAGAAGCGGCUCACAAACACUGUUGGGUGGAGUGCAACAUCCGGACAAGUUGACAACUGGGUUUAUGAGGAGGC